This 467-nucleotide ribosomal RNA is filed under the name uncultured bacterium. RNAcentral describes it as "partial 16S ribosomal RNA". It matches the Rfam family "Bacterial small subunit ribosomal RNA", at positions 29 to 507 of the family's 1533-position model. The record is from RNAcentral.
ACGCACGCUGGCGGCGUGCUUCACCCCUGCCAGUCGCACGGAAAGGCCCUGCUUUUGUGGGGUGCUCGAGUGGCGAACGGGUGAGUAACACGUGAGUAACCUGCCCUUGACUUUGGGAUAACUUCAGGAAACUGGGGCUAAUACCGGAUAGGAUCUCCUGCUGCAUGGUGGGGGUUGGAAAGUUUCGGCGGUUGGGGAUGGACUCGCGGCUUAUCAGCUUGUUGGUGGGGUAGUGGCUUACCAAGGCUUUGACGGGUAGCCGGCCUGAGAGGGUGACCGGCCACAUUGGGACUGAGAUACGGCCCAGACUCCUACGGGAGGCAGCAGUGGGGAAUAUUGCACAAUGGGCGGAAGCCUGAUGCAGCAACGCCGCGUGCGGGAUGACGGCCUUCGGGUUGUAAACCGCUUUCGCCUGUGACGAAGCGUGAGUGACGGUAAUGGGUAAAGAAGCACCGGCUAACUACGUG